Molecule: ribosomal RNA, 701 nt
Filed under: uncultured bacterium
Lineage: Bacteria
Description: bacterial SSU rRNA
Rfam family: Bacterial small subunit ribosomal RNA
Source: RNAcentral
UCUGCCUUGUAGUGGGGGAUAACUUGCCGAAAGGUAAGCUAAUACCGCAUACGCCCUAAGGGGGAAAGCAGGGGACUCUUCGGAGCCUUGCGCUAUUAGAUGAGCCUAGGUCGGAUUAGUUAGUUGGUGGGGUAAUGGCUCACCAAGACCGCGAUCCGUAACUGGUCUGAGAGGAUGAUCAGUCACACUGGAACUGAGACACGGUCCAGACUCCUACGGGAGGCAGCAGUGGGGAAUAUUGGACAAUGGGGGGAACCCUGAUCCAGCCAUGCCGCGUGUGUGAAGAAGGCCUUCGGGUUGUAAAGCACUUUAAUUUGGGAGGAAGGGCUUACGGUUAAUAACCGCUAAGUUUUGACGUUACCAAAAGAAUAAGCACCGGCUAACUUCGUGCCAGCAGCCGCGGUAAUACGAAGGGUGCGAGCGUUAAUCGGAAUUACUGGGCGUAAAGCGCGCGUAGGUGGUUCAUUAAGUUAGGAGUGAAAGCCCCGGGCUCAACCUGGGAAUUGCUUCUAAAACUGGUGAGCUAGAGUACGGUAGAGGGUGGUGGAAUUUCCUGUGUAGCGGUGAAAUGCGUAAAUAUAGGAAGGAACAUCAGUGGCGAAGGCGACCACCUGGACUGAUACUGACACUGAGGUGCGAAAGCGUGGGGAGCAAACAGGAUUAAAUACCCUGGUAGUCCACGCCGUAAACGAUGUCAACUA